Molecule: ribosomal RNA, 668 nt
Filed under: uncultured Mortierella
Lineage: Eukaryota; Fungi; Mortierellomycota; Mortierellomycetes; Mortierellales; Mortierellaceae
Description: eukaryotic LSU rRNA
Rfam family: Eukaryotic large subunit ribosomal RNA
Source: RNAcentral
CGGCGAGUGAAGCGGGAUGAGCUCAAAUUUAAAAUCUGGCCGGUUUACUGGUCCGAAUUGUAGUUUAAAGAAGCGUCUUCGGUGGCAGCCCGGGUAUAAAUCCUUUGGAAUAGGGUAUCAUAGAGGGUGAGAAUCCCGUCUUUGACCCAGUGCAUGCUACUAUGUGAUACGUUUUCAAAGAGUCGAGUUGUUUGGGAAUGCAGCUCAAAAUGGGUGGUAAAUCUCAUCUAAGGCUAAAUAUUGGCGAGAGACCGAUAGCGAACAAGUACCGUGAGGGAAAGAUGAAAAGAACUUUGAAAAGAGAGUUAAACAGUGCGUGAAAUUGUUGAAAGGGAAACGUUUGACACCAGUCAUGCGGGCGGAAAAUCAGUCUUUUGUAGUGAGGAAGCGCGUGGGUUCAGACCGCAAGGCUGGCCUAUGUGUUCUCCCUGCUGCAAGUGAUGCACUUUUUCGUCUGCAGGCCAACAUCAGUUUCUUCUGCUGGACAAAACUCCAAGAGAAGGUAGCAGCUUAGGCUGUGUUAUAGCUCUGGAGCGAUACAGUGGAGGAGACUGAGGUUUUCGCAGCGUGUGCUCUCGGGCAAGGCGGAUUGGGUGCUAUGAGAUCAUUCGGCGUACAAUGCAUGCAUUUUGCGCCGUGUCCUUUUUAUACUCGCUCAACUCUGCUCU